This 250-nucleotide ribosomal RNA is filed under the name uncultured bacterium. Its description in RNAcentral is "partial 16S ribosomal RNA". It matches the Rfam family "Bacterial small subunit ribosomal RNA", at positions 524 to 773 of the family's 1533-position model. The record is from RNAcentral.
UACGUAGGUGGCAAGCGUUGUCCGGAUUUACUGGGCGUAAAGGGUGCGUAGGUGGAUAUUUAAGUCAGAUGUGAAAUACCCGGGCUUAACUUGGGUGCUGCAUUUGAAACUGGAUAUCUAGAGUGCAGGAGAGGAAAGUGGAAUUCCUAGUGUAGCGGUGAAAUGCGUAGAGAUUAGGAAGAACACCAGUGGCGAAGGCGACUUUCUGGACUGUAACUGACACUGAGGCACGAAAGCGUGGGUAGCAAAC